UACAUAAAUACCUCUUUAUGCUAGUCUAAUGCAUUAAAUUUGGGACAAUAAAAUAUUCUUGCAAUGAAAGAAGCUUAGACAUGUAUUCACUCUUUGACUAAAGGCAAAACGGAAUUUUCUCCUGAUUGUGGAGGGAAGUUGUUGCUACACAUUAGUAGCCAAGUUAGUGACUGGCCACUAGUCAAAUGUCUUGUGCUUGUGCAUAUUUAGGUGUCUCUUUGGUCAAAGAGCAAAGUAUUUAAGGGUUGAUGAAGUCUCCUAAGCAUGAAUUAAACAACCAGUCUUUGAUUUUGGAGUGAUUCUAUAAUUUCCAAAAUAUUGGAUUUUAAGAUUUCUUCGAUGCCACAUUAUGGGUG
RNAcentral lists this unclassified non-coding RNA (356 nucleotides) under Hevea brasiliensis (rubber tree). The record is from RNAcentral. Lineage: Eukaryota; Viridiplantae; Streptophyta; Magnoliopsida; Malpighiales; Euphorbiaceae.